UUAAAAUUUUUACACAUAUACUAAAAUUGGAAUGAUACAGAGAAGAUUAGCAUGGCCCCUGCACAAGGAUGACACGCAAAUUCAUGAAGCGUUCCAUAUUUUA
Rattus norvegicus (Norway rat) is the source of this 103-nucleotide small nuclear RNA. The record is from Ensembl. NCBI's taxonomy places the organism in Eukaryota, Metazoa, Chordata, Mammalia, Rodentia, Muridae.